Molecule: ribosomal RNA, 355 nt
Filed under: uncultured bacterium
Lineage: Bacteria
Description: partial 16S ribosomal RNA
Rfam family: Bacterial small subunit ribosomal RNA
Source: RNAcentral
GNAGGGAACAAGCGNCAUCCGGACCNAUNGGGUGUAAAGGGUGCGUAGACGGGAAGACAAGNUGGUNGUGAAAGCCCUCGGCNCAACNGAGGAACNGCAACCAAAACUAUCAUNCUUGAGUGCGGGAGAGGAAAGUGGAAUNCCUAGUGUAGCGGUGAAAUGCGUAGAUAUUAGGAGGAACACCAGUGGCGAAGGCGACUNUCUGGACCGUAACUGACGUUGAGGCACGAAAGUGUGGGGAGCAAACAGGAUUAGAUACCCUGGUAGUCCACACCGUAAACGAUGGAUACUAGGUGUAGGGAACGAUAUGUUUUCUGUGCCGAAGCAAACGCAAUAAGUAUCCCACCUGGGGAGU